CAGCAGCCGCGGGAAUACAGAGGGUGCGAGCGUUAAUCGGAUUUACUGGGCGUAAAGCGUGCGUAGGCGGCUUCUUAAGUCGGAUGUGAAAUCCCUGAGCUUAACUUAGGAAUUGCAUUCGAUACUGGGAAGCUAGAGUAUGGGAGAGGAUGGUAGAAUUCCAGGUGUAGCGGUGAAAUGCGUAGAGAUCUGGAGGAAUACCGAUGGCGAAGGCAGCCAUCUGGCCUAAUACUGACGCUGAGGUACGAAAGCAUGGGGAGCAAACAGGAUUAGAUACCCCCGUAGUCCAUGUCUCUUAUAC
This 301-nucleotide ribosomal RNA is filed under the name uncultured bacterium. Its description in RNAcentral is "partial 16S ribosomal RNA". It matches the Rfam family "Bacterial small subunit ribosomal RNA", at positions 509 to 807 of the family's 1533-position model. The record is from RNAcentral.